UGGGGAAUCUUGGGCAAUGGGCGAAAGCCUGACCCAGCGACGCCGCGUUGGGGAUGAAGCCCUUCGGGGUGUAAACCCAUGUUGUAGGGGACGAAGAAAGUGACGGUACCCUACGAGGAAGCCCCGGCUAACUACGUGCCAGCAGCCGCGGUAAGACGUAGGGGGCGAGCGUUGUCCGGAAUUACUGGGCGUAAAGGGCACGCAGGCGGUGCGCCAAGUCGAGGGUGUAAAGUUACGGCUCAACCGUGACAUUGCAAUCGAUACUGGCGCGCUGGAGUGCGGGAGAGGGAAGUGGAAUUCCCGGUGUAGCGGUGAAAUGCGUAGAUAUCGGGAGGAACGCCAGUGGCGAAGGCGGCUUCCUGGCCCGCGACUGACGCUCAUGUGCGAAAGCCAGGGGAGCGAACCGGAUUAGAUACCCGGGUAGUCCUGGCCGUAAACGAUGGGUGCUAGGUGUAGGCGCGUCAAGCGUCUGUGCCGAAGUUAACGCGAUAAGCACCUCGC
Molecule: ribosomal RNA, 501 nt
Filed under: uncultured bacterium
Lineage: Bacteria
Description: bacterial SSU rRNA
Rfam family: Bacterial small subunit ribosomal RNA
Source: RNAcentral